GCAUUGGUGGUUCAAUGGUAGAGUUCUAGCCUUCCAUAAUGGCAGCCUGGUUCAAUUCCAGCCAAUGGA
Molecule: transfer RNA, 69 nt
Filed under: Loxodonta africana (African savanna elephant)
Lineage: Eukaryota; Metazoa; Chordata; Mammalia; Proboscidea; Elephantidae
Rfam family: tRNA
About the family: Transfer RNA (tRNA) molecules are approximately 80 nucleotides in length. Their secondary structure includes four short double-helical elements and three loops (D, anti-codon, and T loops). Further hydrogen bonds mediate the characteristic L-shaped molecular structure. tRNAs have two regions of fundamental functional importance: the anti-codon, which is responsible for specific mRNA codon recognition, and the 3' end, to which the tRNAs corresponding amino acid is attached (by aminoacyl-tRNA synthetases). tRNAs cope with the degeneracy of the genetic code in two manners: having more than one tRNA (with a specific anti-codon) for a particular amino acid; and 'wobble' base-pairing, i.e. permitting non-standard base-pairing at the 3rd anti-codon position.
Source: Rfam by way of RNAcentral